AGAGCGAACGCUGGCGGCAGGCCUAAUACAUGCAAGUCGAACGCACCUUCGGGUGAGUGGCGGACGGGUGAGUAACACGUGGGAACGUGCCUUUUGGUUCGGAAUAAUCCGGGGAAACCUGGCCUAAUACCGGAUGUGCCCUUCGGGGGAAAGAUUUAUCGCCAUUAGAGCGGCCCGCGUCUGAUUAGCUAGUUGGUGAGGUAAAGGCUCACCAAGGCUACGAUCAGUAGCUGGUCUGAGAGGAUGAUCAGCCACACUGGGACUGAGACACGGCCCAGACUCCUACGGGAGGCAGCAGUAGGGAAUCUUGCGCAAUGGGCGAAAGCCUGACGCAGCCAUGCCGCGUGAACGAUGAAGGUCUUAGGAUUGUAAAAUUCUUUCAGCGGGGAAGAUAAUGACUGUACCCGCAGAAGAAGCUCCGGCUAACUUCGUGCCAGCAGCCGC
Molecule: ribosomal RNA, 444 nt
Filed under: uncultured bacterium
Lineage: Bacteria
Description: SSU rRNA
Rfam family: Bacterial small subunit ribosomal RNA
Source: RNAcentral